This 700-nucleotide ribosomal RNA is filed under the name Faecalibacterium prausnitzii. RNAcentral's name for it is "bacterial SSU rRNA". It matches the Rfam family "Bacterial small subunit ribosomal RNA", at positions 426 to 1152 of the family's 1533-position model. The record is from RNAcentral. Lineage: Bacteria; Bacillati; Bacillota; Clostridia; Eubacteriales; Oscillospiraceae.
UAAACUCCCCGUGUUGAGGAAGAUAAUGACGGUACUCAACAAGGAAGUGACGGCUAACUACGUGCCAGCAGCCGCGGUAAAACGUAGGUCACAAGCGUUGUCCGGAAUUACUGGGUGUAAAGGGAGCGCAGGCGGGCGAUCAAGUUGGAAGUGAAAUCCAUGGGCUCAACCCAUGAACUGCUUUCAAAACUGAUUGUCUUGAGUAGUGCAGAGGUAGGCGGAAUUCCCGGUGUAGCGGUGGAAUGCGUAGAUAUCGGGAGGAACACCAGUGGCGAAGGCGGCCUACUGGGCACCAACUGACGCUGAGGCUCGAAAGUGUGGGUAGCAAACAGGAUUAGAUACCCUGGUAGUCCACACCGUAAACGAUGAUUACUAGGUGUUGGAGGAUUGACCCCUUCAGUGCCGCAGUUAACACAAUAAGUAAUCCACCUGGGGAGUACGACCGCAAGGUUGAAACUCAAAGGAAUUGACGGGGGCCCGCACAAGCAGUGGAGUAUGUGGUUUAAUUCGACGCAACGCGAAGAACCUUACCAAGUCUUGACAUCCUGCGACGAUGCUAGAAAUAGUAUUUUCCUUCGGGACGCAGAGACAGGUGGUGCAUGGUUGUCGUCAGCUCGUGUCGUGAGAUGUUGGGUUAAGUCCCGCAACGAGCGCAACCCUUAUGGUCAGUUACUACGCAAGAGGACUCUGGCCAGACUGC